Molecule: small nuclear RNA, 105 nt
Filed under: Catagonus wagneri (Chacoan peccary)
Lineage: Eukaryota; Metazoa; Chordata; Mammalia; Artiodactyla; Tayassuidae
Source: RNAcentral
GUGCUCACUUCAGCAACAUAUAUACUAAAAUUGGAAUGAUACAGAAAAGACAAGCAUGGCCCCUUGUGCAAGAAUGACAUGCAAAUUGAAGUGUUCCCUAUUUUU